UACGAAGGGGGCUAGCGUUGCUCGGAAUCACUGGGCGUAAAGCGCACGUAGGCGGACUCUUAAGUCGGUGGUGAAAUCCUGGAGCUCAACUCCAGAACUGCCUUCGAUACUGGCGAUCUCGAGUCCGGGAGAGGUGAGUGGAACUGCGAGUGUAGAGGUGAAAUUCGUAGAUAUUCGCAAGAACACCAGUGGCGAAGGCGGCUCACUGGCCCGGUACUGACGCUGAGGUGCGAAAGCGUGGGGAGCAAACAGG
RNAcentral lists this ribosomal RNA (253 nucleotides) under uncultured bacterium. Its description in RNAcentral is "partial 16S ribosomal RNA". It matches the Rfam family "Bacterial small subunit ribosomal RNA", at positions 524 to 776 of the family's 1533-position model. The record is from RNAcentral.